UUACAUAAACCCGUAGAUCCGAACUUGUGGUAUUUGCUUUUCACAAGCUCAGUUCUAAGGGUCUGUGUAGU
Molecule: microRNA precursor, 71 nt
Filed under: Mytilus edulis (blue mussel)
Lineage: Eukaryota; Metazoa; Mollusca; Bivalvia; Mytilida; Mytilidae
Also listed under: 1 other name
Description: mir-10 microRNA precursor family
Rfam family: mir-10 microRNA precursor family
About the family: In this case the mature sequence comes from the 5' arm of the precursor.
Source: Rfam by way of RNAcentral